Molecule: ribosomal RNA, 429 nt
Filed under: Acidobacteriota bacterium
Lineage: Bacteria; Pseudomonadati; Acidobacteriota
Description: Acidobacteria bacterium partial 16S ribosomal RNA
Rfam family: Bacterial small subunit ribosomal RNA
Source: RNAcentral
UGGGGAAUUUUGGACAAUGGGGGAAACCCUGAUCCAGCCAUCCCGCGUGUGCGAUGAAGGCCUGCGGGGUGUAAAGCACUUUUGGCAGGAAAGAAACGUCAUGGGUUAAUACCCCGUGAAACUGACGGUACCUGCAGAAUAAGCACCGGCUAACUACGUGCCAGCAGCCGCGGUAAUACGUAGGGUGCAAGCGUUAAUCGGAAUUACUGGGCGUAAAGCGUGCGCAGGCGGUUCGGAAAGAAAGAUGUGAAAUCCCAGAGCUCAACUUUGGAACUGCAUUUUUAACUACCGGGCUAGAGUGUGUCAGAGGGAGGUUGAAUUCCGCGUGUAGCAGUGAAAUGCGUCGAUAUGCGGAGGAACACCGAUGGCGAAGGCAGCCUCCUGGGAUAACACUGACGCUCAUGCACGAAAGCGUGGGGAGCAAACAGG